This 77-nucleotide transfer RNA is filed under the name Chloroflexi bacterium RBG_16_64_43. RNAcentral describes it as "tRNA-Val". It matches the Rfam family "tRNA". From Rfam's summary of the family: Transfer RNA (tRNA) molecules are approximately 80 nucleotides in length. Their secondary structure includes four short double-helical elements and three loops (D, anti-codon, and T loops). The record is from RNAcentral. RNAcentral also lists the same sequence under 2 other names. Lineage: Bacteria; Bacillati; Chloroflexota.
GGGCGGCUAGCUCAGUCGGUUAGAGCGCUUCACUCACAUUGAAGAGGUCGGGGGUUCAAGUCCCUUGCCGCCCACCA